RNAcentral lists this ribosomal RNA (253 nucleotides) under uncultured bacterium. RNAcentral describes it as "partial 16S ribosomal RNA". It matches the Rfam family "Bacterial small subunit ribosomal RNA", at positions 524 to 776 of the family's 1533-position model. The record is from RNAcentral.
UACAGAGGUGGCAAGCGUUGUUCGGAAUUAUUGGGCGUAAAGAGCUCGUAGGCGGUUUGUCACGUCUGCUGUGAAAUCCCGAGGCUCAACCUCGGGCCUGCAGUGGGUACGGGCAGACUGGAGUGCGGUAGGGGAGAAUGGAAUUCCUGGUGUAGCGGUGAAAUGCGCAGAUAUCAGGAGGAACACCGGUGGCGAAGGCGGGUCUCUGGGCCGAUACUGACGCUGAGGAGCGAAAGCGUGGGGAGCGAACAGG